RNAcentral lists this long non-coding RNA (2112 nucleotides) under Gossypium barbadense (sea-island cotton). RNAcentral's name for it is "long non-coding RNA (GBAR_LNC009486)". Lineage: Eukaryota; Viridiplantae; Streptophyta; Magnoliopsida; Malvales; Malvaceae. The record is from RNAcentral.
UUUUUUUCAUUUUGACUAUUGAAUUUUUGCUAAUUCUCUUUAUUGCCAAUUAUUGUUCUCGCUUCCCUCAAUCUGUCGUCCCUUCUCCUACUCUCCCCAAAUUUCUAUUUUCUUCCAUUUUUGCUAUUAUGAAUUUCUGUCGCUCCUUUGAUUUCUUUUCUUUUCUUUUUUUUUCUUCUUUCCCUUUUGCUUUUAACCUUUUUUUUUAUAUAUAAUCUUACAACCAAUCAUUGAUUUCUUCUUUUAUUGCCUUUUUUUUAUUCUCUUCUUGUACUAUUAUUUUCGUUUGGGUAGCAACCUUUUUUUUAUCAUCACCAUCCCUAUAUCAAUUUUUCUCUGUGUUGAUCCGUGUGAUAACUUGAUUUUGAACAAUUUUGACUGUGUAUGGUAAGAAUUUUGAUUUAAGUUUCAUAAUUUGCUAUGGGGGAUUUUUCGUACGUUUCUUUUUCUUUUGUUCUGAUUAUUUAGUUUUCUCGGCGUGGUUUUGAUUGUGUGAUAUCUCUGAUAGGUGAGGAGCGUGAAAUACCUAAUCCUCCGGUGAAUUAGGUGUUGAUUGUUCGCUACUUUUCAGGGUAAGUGAUCGAUGUCUUAAUUUAGAGGCUGGUGUUGGUUUAGUUUUAACGGCUGAAUGUUUUAAUUGUUGUAAUGCAUGUAAUGUUAAUGGUUUCGUUAUGGUAACGUGUGUUGUGACGUGUUAGAAGCAUUCAAGUGUGUGUUCUAACCCCACAUGUUUGUAUGUGAUUCUUACUCGAAAAAAAAAAGAGAAAAUCAUGAAAAUCUUAAAAAUACAUAAAAUUGAAUCUGCUAAUCGACGCCACACAGUCGAGAGGGACACAGGAGUGUUUGAUUCUAAAAUAUGAAAUACAAACAAUCUUUAAGCAUACAAAACCUUGUAAUCUAUGAAAUAGUACAUACGUUAGUUUUAAUAUGUUCCAAUUAGUAAAUUCUGAGUAAACUAUGUUAUGUUUUUCUCUGUAUCUAGUAUGUAUGUAAGACAUGCAUCUGUUUUAAUAUGAAUUCUUUUAUCAUGAUAAAAUUAUAUGCAUGAACAUGUGAUAUGAUUUUUCUGCAUGCAUUGGGGUGAGAUAUGGAUAUGCGAUGGAGGAAGUACGUUUCUGGCAGUUUUAUUACAAUUCUGGUAGUAUAUCCGCAACACAUAUUCUGGUAAACUUACUGCAACUUUGGCGAUAUUUUCACAAUAUAUGUGUAUUCUGGCAGCACAGCUGCAAACUUUCUAACUGGCAUAUGACCGCAUUCCGGUGUGAUGGUUGGAUGGAUUCUUGUAGCCUAUUUGGUGUGAUUGGUUGGAUGGAAUGGUGUGUAGCGAAUGGGGGUAGGAUUAAUUUUGUUCUAAUAUGUGCAUCUACACAUGUGAGAUUGUUGAUUUGUCUGUUCUAAUAUAUGCAUAUAAGCAUGUUUUCAUGUGAUUUGUACUCGUAGGCCAAGGCACACACUAGGCUUUAGAUCACUUUGUCUGUUUAAUAUUUUUUAGGUGAUCCUCAGACUUAGGAUUUGGCAGCGUUUAAGAGUUCAGCUCGGUUCAUUGUUUUUAAUUCUUUCAGAAACUUAUGUUUUGGAUUUUAUGGACUGGAGUGCCGGACUAUUUUAAUUUUCGGACAUUAACUUUGGUUUGAAAUUGGUUAAAUGUUUGUAGUUAGUCGAUAAGUUUUUUUUUAAUUGGAAUGAAUUUGGACGAAACGAAUCAAAUAAAUAUUUUUCAAAGUUAAACAACUCUAAGAGAUUUGCCGCUACAAAGAUUUAUUUGGUAUAAAGUGUUUUACGAAACAAGUAACUAAGGCGAAAUUGUUUUAUUAAAUUAGUUUUGUAAGUAAAUAUUUCAAGACGUUAUCACAUGUUUUUGUGACCAAGAAUAUUUGUUUCGAAAACAAGUGGUCGAAGUUUCAAUUUAGCAAUGUAACCUUUAUAAUCUAAUCAUAAUAUUUAGGUCGGAUAUGGGGUUACCUACAUUAUUAUAAUUUUCAAAUAUAUAUUUUUAUAAUAUUUAAAAAUUUAGGAAAAAAUUUGUGAAAUUAUUUCUAAAUUUUUAAUCUUUCUAUUUUAUUUUUUAAAAAUUAUUUUACAAUAUAAAUCCUUAGUGGGACCAACAAGCCA